This 64-nucleotide transfer RNA is filed under the name Gyrodactylus derjavinoides. Its description in RNAcentral is "tRNA-Met". Lineage: Eukaryota; Metazoa; Platyhelminthes; Monogenea; Gyrodactylidea; Gyrodactylidae. The record is from RNAcentral.
AAAAAGGUAAGUUAAAAAAACUGCUUGAUUCAUGAUCAAAAAAUACACUUUAGUGUCCUUUUUA